RNAcentral lists this ribosomal RNA (497 nucleotides) under uncultured bacterium. RNAcentral's name for it is "partial 16S ribosomal RNA". It matches the Rfam family "Bacterial small subunit ribosomal RNA", at positions 28 to 507 of the family's 1533-position model. The record is from RNAcentral.
GAUGAACGCUGGCGGCGUGCCUAAUACAUGCAAGUCGAGCGAACGGACGCGAAGCUUGCUUUUCUGAUGUUAGCGGCGGACGGGUGAGUAACACGUGUAUAACCUACCUAUAAGACGGGUAUAACUUCGGGAAACCGGAGCUAAUACCGGAUAAUAUUUUGAACCGCAUGGUUCAAAAGUGAAAGACGGUCUUGCUGUCACUUCUAGAUGGAUCCGCGCUGCAUUAGCUAGUUGGUACGGUAACGGCUUACCAAGGCAACGAUGCGUAGCCGACCUGAGAGGGUGAUAGGCCACACGGGAACUGAGACACGGACCAGACUCCUAAGGGAGGCAGCAGUAGGGAAUCUUCCGCAAUGGGCGAAAGCCUGACGGAGCAACGCCGCGUGAGUGAUGAAGGUCUUCGGAUCGUAAAACUCUGUUAUUAGGGAAGAACAUAUGUGUAAGUAACUGUGCACAUCUUGACGGUACCUAAUAAGAAAGCCACGGCUAACUACGUG